Long non-coding RNA from Coccinella septempunctata (seven-spotted ladybird), 341 nucleotides. RefSeq lists it as uncharacterized. Lineage: Eukaryota; Metazoa; Arthropoda; Insecta; Coleoptera; Coccinellidae. The transcript has 3 exons. The record is from RefSeq and is a predicted model, not a curated record.
GCCAAUUUUUUUUCCUUCGAAAUAGACGUCGGGACGCACGAGUAUCACUAUUCGGACGCUGUCAAUCGACGUGGGUUUUCGCGGGCGUUAGGCGCCGACGUUUGGAAUAAUCAUCAGGUGUAGCUGCUUAUUGGGAAUAACCGAAUUAAUUCUAAAAAUAGGAGUGAAUAGAACUCCAAAGUGCAGGCAGAAUUGAAAAGGAUUCAUUCUAAUGAGACUUUUGGACUGAAAUUAAUGACCUAUAUACCGCAGCUCAAGGCAGGAGUCUGUGUUGCAGGCUGUGAAUUCUUUUACUAGAUCCAAUUUCUUCACCAUUCCAUGAAGUGCCAAGUGGUAAUCAU